UUUCUCAAAUGUCAGGAGUAACUCUGCUGCAAGGUUUCUCUAUACUAUUACCGUUAUAUUUCGGAAUCGUAACGGUGCGCUAUAAUGGUCUAAGCGCUUUUAAGAUAAGUUUAACACCAGUUAUGUUGAUAAACAAUAAUAAAUUGGUUCGCUGAGCACAGCCUGAUACGACCGCAGAGGUUGAACCCUGAACAGCGUGGGCAAAUUUGGACACAAUAUUCAAGUUUGA
This 229-nucleotide long non-coding RNA is filed under the name Mytilus galloprovincialis (Mediterranean mussel). The record is from RNAcentral. Lineage: Eukaryota; Metazoa; Mollusca; Bivalvia; Mytilida; Mytilidae.